CGGGAGUAGCUCAGUUGGUAGAGCACCGGUCUCCAAAACCGGGUGUCGGGAGUUCGAGCCUCUCCUCCAUGA
Molecule: transfer RNA, 72 nt
Filed under: Bacteroides sp. 43_46
Lineage: Bacteria; Pseudomonadati; Bacteroidota; Bacteroidia; Bacteroidales; Bacteroidaceae
Description: tRNA-Trp
Rfam family: tRNA
About the family: Transfer RNA (tRNA) molecules are approximately 80 nucleotides in length. Their secondary structure includes four short double-helical elements and three loops (D, anti-codon, and T loops).
Source: RNAcentral